This 76-nucleotide transfer RNA is filed under the name Bacillota bacterium. Its description in RNAcentral is "tRNA-Lys". It matches the Rfam family "tRNA". From Rfam's summary of the family: Transfer RNA (tRNA) molecules are approximately 80 nucleotides in length. Their secondary structure includes four short double-helical elements and three loops (D, anti-codon, and T loops). Lineage: Bacteria; Bacillati; Bacillota. The record is from RNAcentral.
GGACCACUAGCUCAGUUGGUAGAGCAGCUGACUCUUAAUCAGCGGGCCCAGGGUUCGAGUCCCUGGUGGUCCACCA